AUUCCCCUGGGGUGCUUGUUACGGUUUUAAUUCUUUGAGCCGAUAAUCAUCUAACCCGGCUAUUGACCUGAUGGGUGCUGUUGCGCGCGUCCUGCUGGAAUCGCCUGAUGCACUCGGUGGGUAGCCACCUUCUAGAGGCUUGGGUUCAAGAUGCCAACCGGACGGCACCUGCGGGGGACCC
This 181-nucleotide non-coding RNA is filed under the name Betaproteobacteria bacterium. Its description in RNAcentral is "6S RNA". It matches the Rfam family "6S / SsrS RNA". Rfam says of the family: E. coli 6S RNA was the first non coding RNA to be sequenced, but its function was unknown until recently. It consists of 184 nucleotides that fold into an extended hairpin structure with a large single-stranded internal bulge. The record is from RNAcentral. Lineage: Bacteria; Pseudomonadati; Pseudomonadota; Betaproteobacteria.